AAGUCGUAACAAGGUCUCCGUAGGUGAACCUGCGGAAGGAUCAUUAAUGAGUUAGGGUCUUCCAGGCCCGAUCUCCAACCCUUUGUAUAACUACCAUGUUGCUUUGGCGGGCCCGUCUUUCACCGGACCGUCGGGGGUCUUUUUGACCUCUGGCCAGUGCUCGUCAGUAGCCCUUAACAAACUCUUUUUAACCAUGUUAAAUCUGAAAAAUAGCUAAAUAAACUAAAACUUUCAACAACGGAUCUCUUGGUUCUG
RNAcentral lists this unclassified non-coding RNA (255 nucleotides) under fungal sp. RNAcentral describes it as "partial contains small subunit ribosomal RNA, internal transcribed spacer 1, and 5.8S ribosomal RNA". The stretch from base 1 to 46 matches the Rfam family "Eukaryotic small subunit ribosomal RNA", at positions 1786 to 1831 of the family's 1831-position model. Lineage: Eukaryota; Fungi. The record is from RNAcentral.